Molecule: unclassified non-coding RNA, 329 nt
Filed under: soil metagenome
Description: partial contains 5.8S ribosomal RNA, internal transcribed spacer 2, and large subunit ribosomal RNA
Rfam family: 5.8S ribosomal RNA (bases 1-120)
Source: RNAcentral
GAUGAAGAACGUAGUGAAAUGCGAUAAGUAAUGUGAAUUGCAGAAUUCAGUGAAUCAUCGAAUCUUUGAACGCACAUUGCGCCCCCUGGUAUUCCGGGGGGCAUGUCUGUUCGAGCGUCAUUUCACCACUCAAGCCUCGCUUGGUAUUGGGCAACGCGGUCCGCCGCGUGCCUCAAAUCGACCGGCUGGGUCUUCUGUCCCCUAAGCGUUGUGGAAACUUUCGCUAAAGGGUGUUCGGGAGGCUACGCCGUAAAACAACCCCAUUUCUAAGGUUUACCUCGGAUCAGGUAGGGAUACCCGCUGAACUUAAGCAUAUCAUAAGCGGAGGA